UCCCUGGUGGUCCAGUGGUUAGGACUUGGCACUUUCACUGCCAUGGCCCAGGUUCAAUCCCUGGUCGGGGAA
RNAcentral lists this transfer RNA (72 nucleotides) under Balaenoptera musculus (blue whale). It matches the Rfam family "tRNA". Rfam says of the family: Transfer RNA (tRNA) molecules are approximately 80 nucleotides in length. Their secondary structure includes four short double-helical elements and three loops (D, anti-codon, and T loops). RNAcentral also lists the same sequence under 1 other name. The record is from Rfam by way of RNAcentral. Lineage: Eukaryota; Metazoa; Chordata; Mammalia; Artiodactyla; Balaenopteridae.